This 253-nucleotide unclassified non-coding RNA is filed under the name uncultured Desulfarculaceae bacterium. RNAcentral's name for it is "contains 16S-23S intergenic spacer region". It matches the Rfam family "Bacterial small subunit ribosomal RNA", at positions 524 to 776 of the family's 1533-position model. The record is from RNAcentral. Lineage: Bacteria; Pseudomonadati; Thermodesulfobacteriota; Desulfarculia; Desulfarculales; Desulfarculaceae.
UACGGAGGGUGCAAGCGUUGUUCGGAAUUACUGGGCGUAAAGAGCGUGUAGGCGGUUUGGCAAGUCAGAUGUGAAAGCCCUGGGCUCAACCCAGGAAGUGCAUUUGAAACUGCCAUCCUAGAGUAUGGGAGAGGAGAGUGGAAUUCCCAGUGUAGAGGUGAAAUUCGUAGAUAUUGGGAGGAACACCCGUGGCGAAGGCGACUCUCUGGACCAAUACUGACGCUGAGACGCGGAAGCGUGGGGAGCAAACAGG